GGGGCUAUAGCUCAAUAGGUAGAGCACCUGUUUUGCACGCAGGGGGUUAGCGGUUCAAUCCCGCUUAGCUCCA
This is a transfer RNA of 73 nucleotides. It matches the Rfam family "tRNA". From Rfam's summary of the family: Transfer RNA (tRNA) molecules are approximately 80 nucleotides in length. Their secondary structure includes four short double-helical elements and three loops (D, anti-codon, and T loops). Further hydrogen bonds mediate the characteristic L-shaped molecular structure. tRNAs have two regions of fundamental functional importance: the anti-codon, which is responsible for specific mRNA codon recognition, and the 3' end, to which the tRNAs corresponding amino acid is attached (by aminoacyl-tRNA synthetases). tRNAs cope with the degeneracy of the genetic code in two manners: having more than one tRNA (with a specific anti-codon) for a particular amino acid; and 'wobble' base-pairing, i.e. permitting non-standard base-pairing at the 3rd anti-codon position. The record is from Rfam.